Molecule: ribosomal RNA, 39 nt
Filed under: fungal endophyte MS4 IS139
Lineage: Eukaryota; Fungi; Ascomycota
Also listed under: 2 other names
Description: partial 28S ribosomal RNA
Source: RNAcentral
ACCUCGGAUCAGGUAGGAAUACCCGCUGAACUUAAGCAU